CGGACGGGUGAGUAAUGUCUGGGAAACUGCCCGAUGGAGGGGGAUAACUACUGGAAACGGUAGCUAAUACCGCAUAACGUCGCAAGACCAAAGAGGGGGCCUUCGGGCCUCUUGCCAUCGGAUGUGCCCAGAUGGGAUUAGCUAGUAGGUGGGGUAAUGGCUCACCUAGGCGACGAUCCCUAGCUGGUCUGAGAGGAUGACCAGCCACACUGGAACUGAGACACGGUCCAG
Molecule: ribosomal RNA, 231 nt
Filed under: uncultured bacterium
Lineage: Bacteria
Description: partial 16S ribosomal RNA
Rfam family: Bacterial small subunit ribosomal RNA
Source: RNAcentral